Pseudophryne corroboree (corroboree frog) is the source of this 1823-nucleotide long non-coding RNA. RefSeq lists it as uncharacterized. The record is from RefSeq and is a predicted model, not a curated record. Lineage: Eukaryota; Metazoa; Chordata; Amphibia; Anura; Myobatrachidae. The transcript is spliced from 3 exons.
GAGUGGAGAAUGUCAAUGGAGGAAUGCUGCGUGAAAGAUUAUUCUACUAUCAUGCAUAUUGGAUUAACUCUGCACAGGCUACUGUCACCAGCUACAAUGAGCCAAAAGGUAGUUAGCCCAGCUGCUUGGAAAUGGAGGAAAAAAUCAUAACAUCAAUGAGACAUGGCUGAGGUCAGGACGCCACAGAUCAUCCAAUGGUGGACCAUCACCAGGAAGAGGAACAGCUGCAUCAUCAUCUGGAAGAGGAAGAGCUGUCAUCAGGAAGAGGAACAGCUGCAUCAUCAUCUGGAAGAGGAAGAGCUGGUUCAUCAUCAGGAAGAAUGACACCAUCAUUUGGAAGAGAAAGAGCUGGACCAUCAUCGGUAAGAGGAAGAGCUAGGCCAUCAUCCAAAAGAGGAAGAAAUGAGCCCAGUGCCAGUGAAAACCAGGUAGCUGCACUAGGGAAGCACUACUGAGCCUGGAGAACAUCCUGAGGCCCAUUCUGCCCAGUAUUCCCACCUACAGAAGACGCACUGUUGCAGAAGGAGAGGACGUAGAGCACUGUACCAUCUGCAUGAAUGACAUUGAAGUUGGAAUUUCCGUUGUCUGACACAAUGGCUACAGAUUAACAGCAUUUGUCCUGUGUGCCGCACAAGGUGCUACGACCUGGACAUUUUUUCACAUCAUAUCUGAAGGACACCAAACAUAAGCAGAGGACCCAAUCUAAACAUCAAAAGUAUAUAGCGGGUUCUAGUAAAUAUGUUUGCUGAAGUAUUAAAGCCAUCAACUUGAAGUCAUGCUUGCCUGAGGAUGAAUAAGAGCAUGUUUGUGCAAGUACACUUUGGAGACAGUUUUUGAACAGUUCAUCUCUAUGUAAGGAUUGUCCAAAUAAUACUUCCAAGGCUCCCUCAGAACUUGGCAUUGUGCCCACUGCCAGCCAAACAAAGGAAAGCAAUGACAUCUGCAUGUUUAUUUACUAGGUUUCCAGUACAGUUUCAACUGAAAAUGCAAAGACAUAGAAGAGUCCACCAGAAAUAUACAGAUAGCCCUAAAUAGUAUAUUUGACCGACAAAACAGUCUUAUGGGUAUAUUUAUCAAUACUGUGCUACAAUGAAUAUAUUCUAUUGCUGCUAAUUUUAGCAACAGAACAUAUUCUUCCUAAUUACCAUUAUAAUAUUGGUGGAAAGCUAAGCUAUACUUAUGUGUGACCUAGUUCAUAUAUAUGCACUGCACAGGAAGUUUGGAAUUUGGUUUCCAGUUGCAAAUUCAAUAGCAAAAAAAAAUACAAUUUGCAUAUUGCCGCCGUAAUCCAGAAAAAUCUACACUAGUGAAUGCAACUGCAUCCACCUCUGAAUAAGGCCUUGCAUGAGGAAGAAAGUCAAUAUGGAUGAUAAAGGGAAAAGGGGGAAUAUACGAGAGAUAAUGGUGUGUGUAAAGGAUAAUAGUAACCAACAAAUUAAUAUUAACUUUCCAAAUAAAUAAUAAGCCUCCGAUGUUAAUUAUUAGCCUGGAUUUAUAUUCAGUCACACCAAAUAAAUGUAAAACUUCAACAUACAGUAUAUAUGCUUCAGCAAAAACAUUUAAGUUAUUUAAAAGUAAUGCAAAAUGUUUCUAUUUAAAUGCAUCCCAGUUGUUGUAAAUUCAUCCAAAGCAAUGCCACCUCGUAAAUAUUACCUAAACAUUUAUCUAUAAUCCUGACGGCUAACCAUCAAUCUUUUGUAACAGAAAAUAUAUACUCUUUAUAUAACAAGUCACUGAUUUAUAUCUUAGAUGGAAGUUGAUGAUAGACUAAAACUGCUGAUUUAUACAUUUAUUGGCAAGAUAACAUAAACCACAUUUAUUAA